UCUGAACUAAACAGUGAUUGCUGAAUAAUUUUUUUUUCUGUCACAGGCGUGGUUAGAAUUGGAGUUGCUGCAUGAGACGUUAAGUAAGAUCAGCAGUGAGAGAGCCGACGUCACAGGCUGAGCCCGGCUGAAGGAAUGCCAACAUCAAGAAAUUCCUGGUCACCCUGGGGAGCGUCAUCACAGCUUUGGCUGACCUCAGCGUGGGUGGACUGUUGACAAAGAAGAAGAAGAAGCAGACCUUCAUUCCAUACAGAGACUCUAUGCUGACACGGCUACUUAAAGAGAGCCUGGGUGGAAACUCUAUGACCACUAUAAUCCAUUUCUCCUGCUGAUGUGAACCACGAUGAGACCCUGAGCACUUUGCGCUAUGCCAGUCGAGCUAGAAACAUAGUGAACUCUCCCACAGCGAAUGAAGACAGCAGUGUGAAGGUUAUCAGAGAGCUGCAGGCAGAGGUAGCCAGGCUCCAAAGGCUGCUGGAAGACGCCAAUCAGGUCUCCCGUGGGGAGCUGUCUUCCUCUGUGCUAGAAGAGGAGCUGCAUCAGAAUGAGGCAAAGGUUCUUGUACUGACCAAGGAAUGGACCAGCAAGUGGAAUGAGACUCAGAGUAUCCUGCAGAUGGAGACUCUGAGGAAACAGGGGAGGGGAGUGGGUCUGGACUGUCAGCAACCUCAACUAAUCGGCAUUGAAAAAGAUCUGCUCAGCACUGGCAUCAUCCUCUAUUAUUUGAAAGCAUAUGCAACAUUUGCACUUAAUAUAAUUCACAUAUUUACCUCCAACAAGGAGGUUUUGUUUUCAUCUGCAUUUGUUUGCUAGUAGGAUAACACAAAAAACAAUGUUUUUGUGUUUGAGGGGUGAUGCAAGGAGGAACCGUUUAAUAUUUGCUGUGACUCAGGAUCAAGUGGCGGAUCCAUGAUCAUUUUUUUCGUUGUCUUUAUCAUUGCGAAAUUCUGCGUUUUAGAAUAAUUGAUCUUUGUAAAAUGUUUAGGGGAGUGAUAUU
Long non-coding RNA from Platichthys flesus (European flounder), 997 nucleotides. RefSeq lists it as uncharacterized. The record is from RefSeq and is a predicted model, not a curated record. The transcript is spliced from 6 exons. Lineage: Eukaryota; Metazoa; Chordata; Actinopteri; Pleuronectiformes; Pleuronectidae.